AAGUCGUAACAAGGUCUCCGUAGGUGAACCUGCGGAGGGAUCAUUAUUGAAUUUUCAACACAGAAGGGGCUUCUCUAGGGGGGUCCUUUCUGAACAAACAAACAUACAUGACUAGGAACAGAGAGUUUGGUGUGCUGUGUGUGUGUCGAAUGAGAAUGAGACAUCAACAGCAAAAGAAAAGUUCUUGGCUGAUAAAGUAACAUUGGUUUGGAAUGUACAAUCAAUACAACUUUCAACAACGGAUCUCUUGGCUCUCA
Molecule: unclassified non-coding RNA, 257 nt
Filed under: fungal sp.
Lineage: Eukaryota; Fungi
Description: partial internal transcribed spacer region
Rfam family: Eukaryotic small subunit ribosomal RNA (bases 1-46)
Source: RNAcentral